GCUGGGUGUGGUGGCCCAUGCCUGUAAUCCUAGCACUUCGGGAGGCUGAGACAGGCAGAUCACUUGAGGUCAGGAAUUCGAGACUAGCCUGGCCAACAUGGUGAAACCUUGUCUCUACUAAAAAUACAAAAAAUUAGCUGGUAAUGUGGGUGCACACCUAUAGUCCCAGCUAUUCGGGAGGCGGAGGCAGGAGAAUCACUUGAACCCAGGAGGCAGAGGUUGCAGUGAGCUGAGAUCAUGCCACUGCACUUCAGCCUGGGCAACAGAGUGAGACUCUGUCUCC
RNAcentral lists this small RNA (283 nucleotides) under Rhinopithecus roxellana (golden snub-nosed monkey). RNAcentral's name for it is "Metazoan signal recognition particle RNA (ENSRROG00000010545.1)". Lineage: Eukaryota; Metazoa; Chordata; Mammalia; Primates; Cercopithecidae. The record is from RNAcentral.